AUACACGCAAUGAACGGGAGCAGUAGACGGCCAAGGUGAACAGAGAGCUGCGGGUGGUGCGACGCAGUCACCGGAGGCCGGCGAAUCUCGCCCGUGAGCGGAGCGGCGGAAAGAGCUUCAGGUACGCCGUUACGGAUGUCCCCGUUACCGGACUGUUCGUAUCCCCCGAGCUUACCGUUACGGGAGCAGGGAGAUAUGAAGCGGAGCUGGACGCAGCUUGGGCAUGCCUGGACUGGAUUGAGAUCAGGAGCCUAUGCGUCAAAAAGAGUGGUACCGCGGAGGGGUGACCCGCCGUCUCUUUA
This 302-nucleotide non-coding RNA is filed under the name Paenibacillus sp. RNAcentral describes it as "T-box sequence". It matches the Rfam family "T-box leader". From Rfam's summary of the family: Uncharged tRNA acts as the effector for transcription antitermination of genes in the T-box leader family. T-boxes are found upstream of many aminoacyl-tRNA synthetase genes and some amino acid biosynthetic genes usually in Gram-positive bacteria. The anticodon of a specific tRNA base pairs to a specifier sequence within the T-box motif, and the NCCA acceptor tail of the tRNA base pairs to a conserved bulge in the T-box antiterminator hairpin. The record is from RNAcentral. Lineage: Bacteria; Bacillati; Bacillota; Bacilli; Caryophanales; Paenibacillaceae.